RNAcentral lists this long non-coding RNA (485 nucleotides) under Junco hyemalis (dark-eyed junco). Its description in RNAcentral is "lncRNA (ENSJHYG00000010815.1)". The record is from RNAcentral. Lineage: Eukaryota; Metazoa; Chordata; Aves; Passeriformes; Passerellidae.
CAGAGCCUCUUUUAAAUUCAUCCCUUCAUAUUUCUUGGUGUGUUCAGUGUGAAGAUUUCCAGGUCAUGCCAUGACAGCCUGCUCCACAAGACAAGUGAAGCUGAGAGCAGACACUUCAGUCAUGGAGUGACUCCAGCUGUCUUUGACUCCUUAGCUGAUGCUGAUGGAAGCACACAAACAUGCAAGUGUGCCUGGACAGACCUGGUAAUCCAUUUCCAGAGGGAUAUACAUCAUCUUUUGUAAACAUGUGGAAACCAGAAGGAGAGUUUUGUUGCUAAACUUAAGCUGUGGAAAACUCAGUAAGACAUGAGUUUCUUCCUCAAAUGCUAUGAAAUGAAGUACUCAAGAUAGAGAUAAUGACAAGACAGCCUUAUUUCCAGGUAGCUGAAGGAGAAGAGGUGCAUGCUCUUUGCUUUGGAUCUUGAAGACCAGCUCAUUUGGAAAGGUGAGGUGGAAGGGAGGAAGGGAGGAAGGGAGGAAGGGAG